CCUACGGGUGGCUGCAGUGGGGAAUAUUGUACAAUGGGCGCAAGCCUGAUGCAGCCAUGCCGCGUGUGUGAAGAAGGCCUUCGGGUUGUAAAGCACUUUCAGCGGGGAGGAAGGCGUUAAGGUUAAUAACCUUGGCGAUUGACGUUACCCGCAGAAGAAGCACCGGCUAACUCCGUGCCAGCAGCCGCGGUAAUACGGAGGGUGCAAGCGUUAAUCGGAAUUACUGGGCGUAAAGCGCACGCAGGCGGUCUGUCAAGUCGGAUGUGAAAUCCCCGGGCUCAACCUGGGAACUGCAUUCGAAACUGGCAGGCUAGAGUCUUGUAGAGGGGGGUAGAAUUCCAGGUGUAGCGGUGAAAUGCGUAGAGAUCUGGAGGAAUACCGGUGGCGAAGGCGGCCCCCUGGACAAAGACUGACGUUCAGGUGCGAAAGCGUGGGGAGCAAACAGGAUUAGAUACCCGGGUAGUC
RNAcentral lists this ribosomal RNA (465 nucleotides) under uncultured Klebsiella sp. RNAcentral describes it as "bacterial SSU rRNA". It matches the Rfam family "Bacterial small subunit ribosomal RNA", at positions 338 to 795 of the family's 1533-position model. The record is from RNAcentral. Lineage: Bacteria; Pseudomonadati; Pseudomonadota; Gammaproteobacteria; Enterobacterales; Enterobacteriaceae.